Molecule: ribosomal RNA, 256 nt
Filed under: uncultured bacterium
Lineage: Bacteria
Description: partial 16S ribosomal RNA
Rfam family: Bacterial small subunit ribosomal RNA
Source: RNAcentral
UACAGAGGUCUCAAGCGUUGUCCGGAAUUAUUGGGCGUAAAGAGCUUGUAGGCGGUCUGUCGCGUCUGCUGUGAAAAUCCGGGGCUCAACCCCGGACUUGCAGUGGGUACGGGCAGACUAGAGUGUGGUAGGGGGAGACUGGAAUUCCUGGUGUAGCGGUGGAAUGCGCAGAUAUCAGGAGGAACACCGAUGGCGAAGGCAGGUCUCCUGGGCCACUACUGACGCUGAGAAGCGAAAGCAUGGGGGAGCGAACAGG